CAUCUUUAAUAGGAUGUUACGAUUGUGUGAAUACAUAGCACAUUCGAGGUAGACGCAGAGAACUGAAACAUCUAAGUACCUGCAGGAAGAGAAAGAAAAUUCGAUUCCCUGAGUAGCGGCGAGCGAAACGGGAAAAGCCCAAACCAGCAAGCUUGCUUGUUGGGGUUGUAGGACUCCAAUAUGGUAGUUCUUUCAGAUAGUCGAAUGACUUGGAAAAGUCAGUCAAAGAGGGUAAAAACCCCGUAGACGAAAUGUGGAAGACACCUAGGAGGAUCCUGAGUACGGCGGAACACGAGAAAUUCCGUCGGAAUCCGGGAGGACCAUCUCCCAAGGCUAAAUACUCCCUAGUGACCGAUAGUGAACCAGUACCGUGAGGGAAAGGUGAAAAGCACCCCGGAAGGGGAGUGAAAUAGAACCUGAAACCGUGUGCCUACAACAAGUCAAAGCCCGUUAAUGGGUGAUGGCGUGCCUUUUGUAGAAUGAACCGGCGAGUUACGAUUGCAUGCGAGGUUAAGUUGAAGAGACGGAGCCGCAGCGAAAGCGAGUCUGAAUAGGGCGUUUGAGUAUGUAGUCGUAGACCCGAAACCAUGUGAUCUACCCAUGUCCAGGUUGAAGGUGCGGUAAAACGCACUGGAGGACCGAACCCACGUACGUUGAAAAGUGCGGGGAUGAGGUGUGGGUAGCGGAGAAAUUCCAAACGAACUUGGAGAUAGCUGGUUCUCUCCGAAAUAGCUUUAGGGCUAGCCUCGGAAUUGAGAAUGAUGGAGGUAGAGCACUGUUUGGACUAGGGGCCCAUCUCGGGUUACCGAAUUCAGAUAAACUCCGAAUGCCAUUCAUUCAUAUCCGGGAGUCAGACUGUGAGUGAUAAGAUCCAUAGUCGAAAGGGAAACAGCCCAGACCACCAGCUAAGGUCCCAAAAUAUAUGUUAAGUGGAAAAGGAUGUGGGGUUGCACAGACAACUAGGAUGUUGGCUUAGAAGCAGCCACCAUUUAAAGAGUGCGUAAUAGCUCACUAGUCGAGUGACCCUGCGCCGAAAAUGUACCGGGGCUAAACAUAUUACCGAAGCUGUGGAGUACACCUUUAGGUGUAUUGGUAGGAGAGCGUUCUAAGGGCGUUGAAGGCAGAUCGUGAGGACUGCUGGAGCGCUUAGAAGUGAGAAUGCCGGUAUGAGUAGCGAAAGACAGGUGAGAAUCCUGUCCACCGAAUGACUAAGGUUUCCUGGGGAAGGCUCGUCCGCCCAGGGUUAGUCGGGACCUAAGCCGAGGCCGACAGGCGUAGGCGAUGGAUAACAGGUUGAUAUUCCUGUACCCGUUGUUUUUGUUUGAGCAAUGGAGGGACGCAGGAGGCUAAGGAAUGCAGACGAU
RNAcentral lists this ribosomal RNA (1364 nucleotides) under Enterococcus faecium. Its description in RNAcentral is "partial 23S ribosomal RNA". It matches the Rfam family "Bacterial large subunit ribosomal RNA", at positions 132 to 1499 of the family's 2925-position model. The record is from RNAcentral. Lineage: Bacteria; Bacillati; Bacillota; Bacilli; Lactobacillales; Enterococcaceae. RNAcentral also lists the same sequence under 2 other names.